Molecule: long non-coding RNA, 6751 nt
Organism: Canis lupus familiaris (dog)
Lineage: Eukaryota; Metazoa; Chordata; Mammalia; Carnivora; Canidae
Exons: 5
Source: RefSeq, a predicted model, not a curated record
UAUCUUGGGGCAGUGAUAGGACAACAGUGGGACAAGUGCAGUGAAAGAGUGAGAGACUGGAGGUGGAUAGACUUACAACUGUCCCUGUCAGAGUGAAACUACAGAAAGGAGAUGGAAACUGAGGAGUAGAACCACCUAGACCAGAGGUAGGAGGCAGGUGAGAGGACAGUCAAGAGCAACGCCAGAGUUCCAACGGACAGGGACUUGGCACCAUUAGCAGAAUCCGACUCCUACAAGCCCAGUGCAAGGCUUGCGCAAAACCACCGCGUCCAAGUAUCGGGCAGGCAGAGGCGGCGGCAAACCGCGCAUAAAUACAAGGAAGUCGUAUUUAUGGAAGCAGCUUAUGAAAGUGUAAAGAGGAGGCGAUCACGGAGGAAAAGCAUGACCAAGAAAGAGCUGAAAACACUAUUUUCAAGUCGCUCCUAUAUUCCUAGAACCGGAGAUAAAAGUCUUGCCUUUCUCAUCCGAGGUUCCUCAUCUGGAAAGAAAUCGUUUGGACUAUUUUCUCAAUUUCCCCAAGGACGGCACAUGAACAGUGCCAUCCAGGACGCCCGGCAAGUCUGUUUUUCACAUUCAAUGGACGGCGUGGGUUAUCAGGGCUUAAGCCGCUCCUGGAACUCAGGCUAAGAGAGCUGCCGGAGGACCGUUACCGAGCAAGACAGCACUCCGCGGGUGAGGCGCCAGUAACGCUUGGAUACAGCAGUUCACCGAAUCCGCCUGACAAAUUCAUCCUCAACCACUCGCGCCUAACAAGUAGCCAAAAGCGCCGGAGUCACACCCAAGCGCAGGACGACCUCUCCGCCCACCGCUCCCCGUCCAGACUUCGCUUCCCACUCCUUCCGCGCGGCACCGGCGCGGCGCGACUCCCCACUUCCGCGCGGGGGCCGGAGCCUCGGGGACCCGCCGCUCUCCUCAGCGGAGCCGCCCGGGAGACCCACCCACUCGGGCCCCGCCCCGCCCCACAGCACGUACCCGGCGUCGGCUCCCCGGGCCCCAGGCCGUGGGGUGGCCCUGCCAGGGCCCCGUCCGGGGACGUCGGCCCAGGAACACUCAUGUCCUUCCCGCUGGGCACAGGGAAGGGACAGUCUGUGCAGACGGUCAGCUGCAGUAAGAGGGCACUCAACGCGUCCAGCGCCCGGCCGGACCCGAGCGGCAGUCGCACCCGGAAAUGACGGAAGCGGAAGACGGUGUGGCGCCCCGCCCCCGGCCGUCCCCUCUUCUUGCCUCCGCCUCCGCACGGCCGCCCGCGGCGCUGCUGGGACUCCGCGCUGACGUCGUCGCAGUCGGGGGCGGGGCGCGGCGUCGGAAGAGUGAAUGAUUUUAAGGCCUGGAUUGCAGUAUCUACUGGGCAGAUUCAGCCAAAUUACCGGAAACUGCGCGUGCAGAGUUCCUGUGGGAUGACGUCACGGUUUUAAUGAAAAACUUAGAAAUGAGCAGAGGCAGCCCCAGACCAAAUAGGAAGAUGAGCUAUGCGCUCCUGCCCUGGAUCCUCUCACCUUGAGUAUUUUAACUCGUUGUAUCAAGUGCUUGUUGAAGAUCCAGAUCCAUUAUGCAGGAAAAAAGGUAGGAAGAUGAUAAUACCAGACCCACUACUUGAUAUAAUUCUUCUCAUCUUUCCAGCUUAUCUCUUAACUCAGGCAAGAGACCUGAGUGGCAUAGCUCCAUGAUGGAAACUGAAACUGCCCUUUAAGCAGUAAUGACUGCCCUGACAAGACCUCCAUCUGGCCCAGACCACCCAGACCAGUUGAAGCUCAACCUCCAACUCACACCUGUGCAGAUGGACCAGGGAGUCACCCAUGGAGACUGAUGACAGCUACCUUUACCUCAUUAUAAUGCCAAAAUCUCUGCCCAAGGACAAGCAUAAGCCUCAUUGACAUAACAUACAAUGUAUGUAUAGGCAUGUUUCCUUAAGGCACAUGCACACCUCUACCUACAAGAAUUCCCAUGAUAUCCUAUGCUGCAAAUCAAGUUUAUUAUAUGUGACAACUCCACUUGAUAUAGUUUCUGUGACUCACCAAAGGAGCAAACUCAUGUUUGUUCAGUUGUAAGAUGUCUUAUUUUAUUUGUGAAAAAUUGGAGGCACAGUUAGAUUUUUCCCCACCCUGAAUAAAAGAGGUAACCAUGGGGCACCUUGGUGGCUCAGUGGUUGAGCAUUUGCCUUUGGCUCAGGUAGUGAUCUUGGGGUCCUGGGAUCAAGUCCCACAUCCGGCUUCCUGCAGGGAGCCUGCUUCUCCCUCUGCUAUGUCUCUGUCUCUUUCUGUGUGUCUCUCAUAAAUAAAUAAAUAAAGCUUAAAAAUAAUAAAAUAAAAUAAAAUAAAAUAAAAUAAAAUAAAAUAAAAUAGGUCACCCAUCCCCCCCUUAGCAAUGACCUGGGAGAUACUGCUGGGGAAGCCAUCCUUUUGGGCCAGUGCCAGAAAAGGACAGGAGAAGAAAGAGAAGGGUUUUGUGUUUACAGUAUGAUGUCUUGAUCCAGCAUCUGGGGUGGAGGCAGUCUACACCUUGAUGUCAGCUACUUUUCUUCUGUCAAUUUGAUUUAGAGGUCUCUAGCAUCUUUUCAUUUUACAGCUGGGCCAGUGGUCAGGAGCACUUGGGACAACCCCUUUAAGGGCAUGAGGACUGUUUUUCUCUGAUGAUGUUUUACAAUACCAAGUUAUUAGGCUCUCGACUAUAAAAAAAAACAGGUUUCUUUUUUUUUUAAGAUUUUAUUUAUUUAUUUGAGACAGAACACAAGCAGGGGUAGGGAGUAGAGAGAGAAGCAGGCUCCCCACUGAGCUGGGAGCCCAACUCAGAGCCCAACCCAGGACCCUGGGAUCAUGACCUGAGCUGAAAGCAGACACUUAACCAACUGAGCCACCCAGGUGCCCCCAGACAGGUUUCUUUUAACAGGAUUCAGGAAAGCUUCUUAACCUGUUGAUGACAGGCUUGAGCAUAAAACAUUAGAGACUUAUAGUAGCUGGCCAUAUUAGCAUGAAACAGCAGGGAUCAGUAGAAGGUUGUAGACUGAUAGAAUUUCUAGAAUUUUGCAAGGUUUUGUUAAGGCUCUAGUGAUUUGUCUGGUGAAGUGGGUGUCUUGACUCCUAGAGAUGAUGGAAAGUACACCUCAGUAAGAAACAUUUUUUUUAGACUCCAUUUACUUAUUCAUGAGAGACAGAGAGAGGCAGAGAUAUAGGCAGAGGGAGAAGCAGGCUCCCUGCCCGAUUCAGGACUCAAUCCCAGGACUCUGAGAUCAUGCUCUGAGCCAAAGGCCGAUGCUCAACCACUGAGCCACCCAAGUACCCUAGGAAACUUUUUUUUUAACCAGUUUUUUGUUUUUGUUUGGUUUUACUGUGAAGACAUCAGCCUUGUAGCAAGGAAAGAUUCAACCCCACCUGGAAAACACACGUACAAAUAUAUACUGAUAAUUCUUACUAAGUGGCAGCUUAAUAAAGUCCAGUUGCAGGUAUUAAAAUUUUAUAGAAGUCUCUACACUAAUGCCUAUUUAUAACCUGAGUCCUCUUAAAUGUACGAUGGUGGGCAAAGGAGGACAAAAACUGAAAAUUGGGCUUUGUCAAGGAGCCAAAAAAGAAGAAAGCAACUGUCUUGGGCUUCUCAUAGUCCUGUUUCUUAAAUUUAUAACCACUAUGUGUCUAUAUUAAUACUAAUUUUUUCAGAUGCAGACUGUUGCCAUGUCACAAGGACAUUACGAUGGCAAAAGUGUGGCAAAAAGGGGCCAUUUGCACAACAGAAUGGACUUUAUCUGUAUGUGCCACAAUCUUACAAAUAUAAAAAAGGCUUAGUAUUAUUUAUUUGACAAUAUUUUCUAUGUAAUCUACAUAGUAAAUAAGCCUAAUUAGUUUUACAACUCUUUUGUAAUAUUUCAAGUCAAAGAGACUUAAGAAUUUGAUUUUGGGAAGUCUGUCAAAAAUAUUUGUUUUAAAGUUUUUAAGCACUUAUCUAAAUGGGGUCUUGGAUCAUUAUAAAACUUGAUAUUUAAAAGAUAAAGAAACUUAUAAAAACCUUAUCAAAAGCAGAUUAAAAGUUCAAGAAAACUUUGUUCUUUUAACAGAGAGAAGACUGGGUCACCUGGGUGGCUCAGCGGUUGAGUGUUUGCCUUUGGCUCAGGGCAUGAUCCUAGAGUCCUUGGAUGGAGUCCCACAUCGGGCUCUCAGCAUGCUGCCUGCUUCUCACUCUGCCUAUGUCUCUGCCUCUCUCUUUCUGUGUCUCUCAUGAAUAAAUAAAUAAAAUCUUAAAAAAAAGAAGAAGACCAAAUUUUAACUUUGUACCAGCUUAAUUUUGAUAUUAAAACUUAUUUUUUAAUAAAUUUAUUUUAAUCUUAGCCACCUUGACCACACAUUAAAAUUUUUUGAGAGUUUUUUUUCUAUAUUCUGAUUUCAUCCUAUUGUUACUGAAAUCCAAGUUCAUCUGCUCAACCCCCAAAAGCUAAUACUUGAGAGACAAGUGUUGGUCUGAAAGGAAGGGUUGCUAAGGGUGCCUGGGUGGCUCAGUCAGCUAAGUGACUGGCUCUUGGUUUUGGCUCAGGUCACCAUCUCAGAGUGGUGAUAUGGAGCCCUGAGCCCAUACUCAGAUUUUCUGAGCAUGGAGUCUGUUUAGGAUUCUCUCUCUCUCUCUCUCUCUGCCCCCCUCCACCCCUCCCUCUGCUCACUCUCCCUUUGUGCACUCAUUCUUUCUCUUUCUCUCUCUCAAAAAUAAAUAAAUCUUUUCUAAAAAUUUAAAAAGGAAAGGUUGCUUUAUUCAUGAGGCUAGGCAACCUGGGAAGAUGGUGGACUAAUGUCCAAAGACCAUCUCCACAAAGUCCUCGACCAAGCAGGGUGUUUUUAAGGGGAAGGCACUAGAAAGUGGUAGAGUCCACAUGCAGGGGAAGCAUUCUUAAUGUGAUCUCAAGUGGACUUGCCGGCAUAAGGGAAGACUGUUCAGUAAUGUAGUCAAGCUGGAUCUUCUAUGAAUAGAUUGUUCUUUGUUUCCCCCCAGGCCAGUGUUCUGUUGAAAUCUCAAAGAAGCUAUAAUUAGUCAACCUAUAAGCUAGAUGGCACAGGUCAGUGAGUUAGAGAUAUGUAGCCUUCAAACUGCUUGGAAUACAAUUACACAGUGUUUCCAUUUCAAACCAACCUUAUUUUAGGACAAAAUUAUUAUUAUUAUUAUUAUUAUUAUUAUUAUUAUUAUUAUUAUUAUUUUACUAUUAUUUGUGGGGCAUCCCAAUUAGGUGGGGGCUGGUGGCACAGGUGGUGAAAGAAUUCACCCAGAAUUCAAGGCAGCAAAAAGAGAUAGAAGUUUAUUGAAUACACUGCAAGGGAGUGGUGGGCAGGGCAACAAAGGAGACACCGACUGUAACAAGACAGUGGGAGGGGCCACAGUUAUCGGGCACAGUGAGUAGGUAUGAGAAUGCAUGAAAUCGUCCCUUUUUUGGUAAUCUUAGGAACUGAGCCUGGUCCUAAUUGGUCAGUUAGGGCCUAUGGCUAUUUCGAGGUGGGUUGCUUGAGCCUAUUUGCAUUACAUGUUUGCAUUCAGCCCGGCAGUCACUGUGAGCCCUUUUGCCUUACUCAGGUUUUCACUGCUCAAGCUUGUCGCUUAAAAGUGGCCUCUAAAUUAUUAUUAUUACUGAAAACAUAUCUCAUUUUCCUGACAUAGGGAGAUGUUUCUUAUUGUUUUUAGUAGUUUUAAUUACACAUUAAUCAAAAAUUUUAACCUUAGAAACCUUGGUUUCUAGUUACAGGUGCCAAGGGCAGGUCAUCCUAAGGCCACUCUGGCGAAUGUUAUUUUGAGUUAAAAGCAAUUAAAACCCAAAAGAUUUGGGAAAAGCUCUUCACGUCUCUCUCAACUGCCUGCUUGUACUAAGAGAGCUAUUAAGAGUCUCUUUCCUUAAGUAAUUUACCUACAUCAUAGAGCAACCUUUGCCUUCCAAAUAUCUCCUCUCACCUUCCUGCUAACGGUCCUUCUCCUCCUUGUAUCCUCAGACCUCAUCCAUCCCCUUAGCUCUUAUAAGCCUCAUGUUGCCUCAUUGUCUUUGGAAUUUCUAUGUCUAUGUGGAUUUCCUGUGCAUACGCCAUUAAAUUAGAUUUUCUCUUCUAUAUGUGUCACAUGUCAAUUUGAUUCUUAGUCCAGCUAGAAGGACCUUGAAGGAUAAAGGAAAAUCAUCCUCCUUAACACAUUGAAAACUAAGUAAGCAAUUGUGAUCAGUCUGGCAUAUAAUUUUCACAUCUUCAAAUUAAUAAAUAUUUUAAAUUUUUAGAAGCAUGUGUCUUUUUAACUUAAUGUAACAGUAAUAUAUUUAAAUAAUUUUAGCUUCUCUUUACUAGGAAGCCAAAAAUAGAUAAACCUAUGUUUAGUAAUUAGUGUUAGAGUAUUUUGUCUUAUUUGGAAAUACUCUAGAUAUUUAAUGAAUUUAACUUAACCAAUUAUUUGCCCCAAAACUUUGAGGAAACUAUUGUUGGGGAGGACAUUGAUCCCUUACCUAAAUUUUUUAAUUUAUCCAUUUGUUUGGGAUGCCUGGGUGGCUCAGUGGUUGAGCAUCUGCCUUCGGCUCAGGGCCUAAUUCUGGAGACCCAGGAUUGAGCCCCACAUCAGGCUUCCUGCAUGGAGCCUGCUUCUCCCUCUGCCUGUGUCUCUGCCUCUCUCUCUGUUUUUCAUGAAUAAAUAAAUAAAAUAGUUUUUAAAUCCAUUUGUUUUUAACGAUUGUAUUUAGAUUACUUACAAAGACUUUAUGAACAUUAGACAAAGUCAGUCAUUAUUUUAAGCCAUAAUUUUUGUGUUAAUA